UUGGUUGGUUUGUAAUCCUAAAUAUCAACGGUAUCUAGAAAAUUUAGAACCACCUUUUACUUCCUCAUCUCGUAAGACUACCCGCUGAACUAAGCAAUCAAUAAGCGGAGAAAAGAAACCAACAGGAUGCCUCAUAACGGCGAGUGAAGCGCAAAAGCUCAAAUUGAAAUCCUUCGGAAUGUAUUUGAAGUGGUUGGUUAGGAAAAGUUACUUAAGUCCAUGGAAAAUGCGCCAUGGAGGUAUAGCCCCGUAAAAGUACCCCCUUUCCUUUAUCCAUUCCCUCCAAAGAUCGAGUGUUUGGGAAGCAGCUCUAAGUGGUGUAAAUCCAUCUAAAGCUAAAUAUGGCGAAGACCGAUAGCGAACAAGUACAGUGAUGGAAAGAUGAAAAGCACUUGAAAAGAGAGUGAAAAAGUACGUGAAAUGUUGAAAGGAAGGCUUGCAACAACACAACCUCGUGGCCACAUCGGAGUGGGGAGACAAAAAAGAAAAGGAAGUAACCUUCGAGUAUAUACCUUUCUCAUAUCUCCACCCCCUUCCGAGCCUGCGAUCUUCAAGGAUCGGCGUAAUGGUGCAAUCGCCCGUCUGAAACACGACCAAGGAGUCUAACGUCUAUGCGAGUGUUGAGUACUAAACCCAAACGCGCAAUGAAAGUAAUAGACGAACCUCACGGUGCAGCUCCGACCACAUUAAGGCCUAAACCAUAAUGUAGUAAGCAUGGCUUGGACCCGAAAGAUGUGAACUAUACCUGGAUAGGUGAAGCCAGAGGAAACUCUGGGAGCUCGUAGCGGUUCUGACGUCAAAUCGAUCGUCGAAUCUGGUAAGGGCGAAAGACUAAUCGAACCAUCUAGUACUGUCCUGCCGAAGUUCCCUCAGAUAGCAGAAGCUCGUACAAACAUUUAUGAGUAAAGCGAAUGAUAGACUCUCGGGCGAAAUAGCCUUAGCGUAUCUCAAACUUAAAUAUGUAAGAAGCCUUCCUUUUUAAUUAAAGGUAGCAUGAAUGUAGAGCUUUAGUGGCCAUUUGGUAAGCAGAACUGGCGAUGCGGAUGAACCGAACGUGAAGUUAAAGUGCCAGAAUACACGCUCAUCAGACACCACAAAAGGUUAGUUCAUCUAGACAGCCGGACGUGGCCAUGGAAGUCGGAAUCCGCUAAGGAUGUAACAACUCACCGCCGAAUGAACUAGCCCUGAAAAUGGAUGCGCUAAGCGUGUACUAUACUCGCCCUAAACCAAUAGUUAGAGUAGGCAGCGUGGAGGUAGUGACGAAGCCUGGAUGUGAACUGGUCGAACUCCUCUAGUGCAGAUCUUGGUAGUAGCAAAUAUCAAAUGAGAACUUGAAGACUGAAGUGGGAAAGUCCAUGUCAACAGCAGAUAACAUGGUAGUCGAUCCUAACCUCUAAGUAAACCUGAUUAACUCCUCUAUUUCAGAGGUGAGGAAAGGAAUUGGUUAAUAUCCAAAACUGGAUAUGGAGUUCACGGUAACGUAACUGAAUGUGGAACGUCGCGUGGCCCUGGAAGAAUUUCUUUUCUCUAACAGCUUAUACCCUGGAGGAUAACCAGAGAUGGGUUUAUGGCUGGAAGAGCAACCCUUUAUGGUGUCCGGUGCGCCUACGACGUCCUGAAAAUCCACAGAAGAUUACUUCAUGCCAAGUCGUACUGAUAACCGCAGCAGUCCCAAGUUAACAGCCUCUAGUGAUAGAAAAUGUAGAUAAGGAAGUCGGCAAAAUAGAUCCGUAACUCGGAUAAGGAUGGCUCUAAGGUGGAGGAUCGGGUUUGGCUAAGGUGAAAGUAUUUAGGCCUGGGCUUCGGAGCUCUGGGCCUUUAGUCCCUCUACCCCACCCUUUCACCCUCCCUCACUAACAACCAUCUUAGAACUGGUACGGACAAGGGAAUCUGACUGUCUAAUAAAACAUAGCAUGCGAUGGUCAAAAGUGAUGUUGACGCAAUGUGAUUCUGCCCAUGCUCUGAAUGUCAAAGUGAAGAAAUCAACCAAGCGCGGUAAACGGCGGGAGUAACUAUGACCUCUAAGUAGCCAAAUGCCUCGUCAUCUAAUAGUGACGCGCAUGAAUGGAUAACGAGAUCCCACUGUCCCUAUCUACUAUCUAGCGAAACCACAGCCAAGGAACGGCUGGCAAAAUCAGCGGGAAAGAAACCCUGUGACUGACUCUAGUUGACAUGUGAAAGGAUGGAGGGUAGUAUAGGGGGAGCUCGGCGCCCGUGAAAUACCCCCACCUCUCUAUCUUACUUACAGAGUGAAGGACGAUCGGUUGAAAAACCACCUUCAAGUAUAAUCUUUAGAAACGUCAGCUCUAGACACCGUCUAAUGGGAGUUGGCUGGGCGGCACAUCUGUAAACAAUAACGCAGGUCCUAAGGGGCUCAUGAGAACAGAAAUCUCCAGUAGAACAAAAGGUAAAAGCCCCUUGAUUUGAUUUCAGUGGAAUACAAACCAUGAAAGUGUGGCCUAUCGAUCCUUAACACCCCGGAAUUGGGCUAGAGUGCCAGAAAAGUACCACAGGGAUAACUGGCUGUGGCAGUCAAGCGUCAUAGCGACAUUGCUUUGAUUCUCGAUGUCGGCUCUCCUAUCAUACCGAAGCAGAAUCGGUAAGCGUGGAUGUUCACCCACUAAUAGGGAACGUGAGCUGGGUUAGACCGUCGUGAGACAGGUUAGUUUACCCUACUGAUGGUUGUUGUGCAAUAGUAAUGAACUUAGUACGAGAGGAACCGUCAUUCAGAUAAUGGUAUUGGCCCUGUCUGAGAAGCAUGGGCCGAAGCUACCAUCUGCUGGAUAUGGCUGAACGCCUCUAAGUCAGAAUCCAUGCUAGAAGCAACGCCACACGCUGCAUUGGGAGUUGGAUAUAAAUAGCUUCGGCCCGAACCAUGUAAGAGGAUUGAGGAAUGUGUGGAAGCACUCUUCUCUACCUCGAAUAGCAAUGUCACCUUGCAAGCAUAAAUCCUUGCAUACGACUAGACUACAACUGGUAUGUAAUGGUAGAGUAGCCUUGUUGUACGAUCCACUGAGAUAAGCCCGCGUUGGAAGUUGUAGA
This 3042-nucleotide ribosomal RNA is filed under the name Metschnikowia reukaufii. RNAcentral's name for it is "eukaryotic LSU rRNA". It matches the Rfam family "Eukaryotic large subunit ribosomal RNA". Lineage: Eukaryota; Fungi; Ascomycota; Pichiomycetes; Serinales; Metschnikowiaceae. The record is from RNAcentral.